RNAcentral lists this ribosomal RNA (254 nucleotides) under uncultured bacterium. RNAcentral's name for it is "partial 16S ribosomal RNA". It matches the Rfam family "Bacterial small subunit ribosomal RNA", at positions 524 to 776 of the family's 1533-position model. The record is from RNAcentral.
UACAGGGGGGGGCAAGCGUUGUUCGGAAUUACUGGGCGUAAAGGGUUCGUAGGUGGCCAACUAAGUCAGACGUGAAAUCCCUCAGCUUAACUGGGGAACUGCGUCUGAUACUGGAUGGCUUGAGUGCAGGAGAGGAAUGCGGAAUUCCAGGUGUAGCGGUGAAAUGCGUAGAUAUCUGGAGGAACACCGGUGGCGAAGGCGGCAUUCUGGACUGUAACUGACACUGAGGAACGAAAGCCAGGGGAGCAAACGGG